Zea mays is the source of this 2046-nucleotide long non-coding RNA. RefSeq lists it as uncharacterized. The transcript is spliced from 4 exons. NCBI's taxonomy places the organism in Eukaryota, Viridiplantae, Streptophyta, Magnoliopsida, Poales, Poaceae. The record is from RefSeq and is a predicted model, not a curated record.
UUAUUACAGACAAAGCAAUCAAGAUCAGCAUCGCAAGGCUCCAUUGUGUGACCGGUGCACUUACAUCUGAAAUAGAAUGGUGCCUUCGGCUUUUUGGCCUUCACAACGUCAUCCCCGGCUUGCUGUGCAGCCACUUCUGGAGACGCAGAAGAAUCAGACCCGGGAAACGAACCCUGUGCAUGAUGCUGCAACAGCUGUCUCCCAGAACCUGAGGCUCCAUUCCAGAUGAACCAGGCGCCCCACGAAUUGGACCAGAUCCUCGACCCGCAGGUACCUGAUGGGGACGCCGAAACUGCUGCUGCUGUCCCUGAAGAAUAUGCGUCGGUGGUGCACGAUUCUGUCCACCCCAUCCUCGCCCACCCCUAGCCUUCGUAGGCUGGCGUGCUGUCAUAGCUGCGUAGGAGGGACGAACUGGCUGUGGCGGCGGACGAAAACACGAAGUCGCAAUCGAACGCAAUGAAGGGUAACAUGGAGACGCAGCUGACCGCGGGCGCAGAUGUGGUGUGGAUCGGGCCCGCACGAAGUUGAGGCAAGAACGACUGAAUUCCUUGGCCCGGUCAACCAGCAGUAAAUUACUUAGAAAAUCAAAGCGUCCUCAUCGUCCAAUCCUGUGAUGCCUCUGGUCCUGCUAAGAUCUCGUUCUGUGUGGUUUUCCCCUUCGGUCAGCCGAGAUAGCGGUGUUUACUCAUAAAGUUGCGCCUAAAUGAAUCACCUUUUUUGCUUAGAGUUUUCGGAUUGUUCCUUCUGUAAAAUGGUGCAUAUUGUUUCAGUGUGUGAACUAUACUGAACCAUUCAGUGCUUCAUUUUAGGUCUGGCAACCGGUGUAGAUGCACUGGAAGAUGGGGAAGAUCUGCAGUUUGAUCCUGAGGCUUACAAUUAUCUCCGAGGUUUUGGCAUUGGCUGGUCUUGCUUGAGGUAAAGUUUAUCUUCAUUCCCCCCACUUUUUGGGUGCUUACUUCAGGAGUCAGGACAAUAUACGAUCUGUUUUCAAUUACUAAAACCUUCUGUUGCGGUUUUAAUGUUGUGCGCGAUCAACUUGGACUCAUCAGAUCGGAGUUCCCUCAUACAUUCUAUGGUGUUGCAAGAACGCAGGUUGUGUUAGUCUUUACACCUUUAAAACCUAGGCAUUGCUUUUUCGCAAAAAAACUAGGUAUUAUUACUAUCGAAACUUGGAUUGCUUUUGAUGUCUAUCACAUAGUGCUUUUUGUUAUCUAAAUUAGAACUUGUACAUGAAUUAGUUUUGUACUUCUGUUCCUGUUUAUGUGUUUUGGAUUUAAAAAGUGCACCAUUGCUGAUUUUAAGCUCAGAAAAGCCAUGCCAAAAACGUUUUGUGAGCUCUCGCUUGCAUUUAUAUCAUUACUGUUGCCAGAAAUUGUGAUGGAUUGCAAGCGGGUGAAUUUGGACUGGCAAAAGAUUAAUAUAAGCUUAAAUGCGACAACUUUGUGUUUGAUGUACUGUACCUACCAGUAUUCUGACAAUAAAAUUUAGUUUUUCUUUCUGAGUUCGCAACGCACUGUACCUACCUCAGCUACUGAGGAAGAGGAGGUGAACCUUGAUCGGCGUGUUGGCAGAAUACUGGAGGAACUCGAGAUGGUCUCCAUUGAGGAAGGUCGUUUGAGGUUCGAGAGCCUGAUGCCACUGUUCUAGGAACUACUAGAGAACAAGAGCCCGAUGGCUAUACUUGAACCCCUCAUGCAACAGACGUUUAUUAGAAUUGACACACUUACCAUUGUAAGGCCUAGACCAAUUGGUUGGUUCCCUCCCUUGAUGUAGGGAUGAUGCUUGUUGUAUUGCAUUACUGCACUGGCAACCAUUGUACAGGUUGUAGCUUCUCAUGGUUAGCAGAGUGCAGGCAUGAUUUUUUACAUGUGCAGCCUGCACACCUGUCGUCCAGUAGUUUGGCUCGGUUGUAUUAGCAGCAACAAUGAGUGGUGUUGUCGUGUUAUGCCUUAAGCAAAUUGUAUGGUAGUUGUAUCGAUGAUUCGUCUGUAUGGCUUGGGUGCCUGUCGCAAAACUGAAUAAUCGAUCGUGCCUUAUGAUGUGCCA